UACGGAGGGUGCAAGCGUUGUCCGGAUUUAUUGGGUUUAAAGGGUGCGUAGGCGGCGUAAUAAGUCAGUGGUGAAAGCCGGCAGCUCAACUGUCGAGGUGCCAUUGAAACUGUUAUGCUUGAGUACAGACGAGGUAGGCGGAAUUUAUGAUGUAGCGGUGAAAUGCAUAGAUAUCAUAAAGAACACCGAUAGCGAAGGCAGCUUACUAGGCUGUAACUGACGCUGAGGCACGAAAGCGUGGGGAGCGAACAGG
RNAcentral lists this ribosomal RNA (253 nucleotides) under uncultured bacterium. RNAcentral's name for it is "partial 16S ribosomal RNA". It matches the Rfam family "Bacterial small subunit ribosomal RNA", at positions 524 to 776 of the family's 1533-position model. The record is from RNAcentral.